RNAcentral lists this ribosomal RNA (377 nucleotides) under uncultured Bacteriovoracaceae bacterium. RNAcentral describes it as "bacterial SSU rRNA". It matches the Rfam family "Bacterial small subunit ribosomal RNA", at positions 523 to 898 of the family's 1533-position model. The record is from RNAcentral. Lineage: Bacteria; Pseudomonadati; Bdellovibrionota; Bacteriovoracia; Bacteriovoracales; Bacteriovoracaceae.
AUACGAAGGGUGAGAGCGUUGUUCGGAUUUAUUGGGCGUAAAGCGCGCGCAGGCGGAUGAUCAAGUCAGAUGUGAAAUCUCGGGGCUCAACUCCGAAACAGCGUCUGAAACUAAUCAUCUAGAGUCUUGGCAGGGGAGGGGGAAUUUCACAUGUAGGGGUAAAAUCCGUAGAGAUGUGAAGGAACACCAGAGGCGAAGGCGCCCUCCUGGACAAGUACUGACGCUGAGGCGCGAAAGCGUGGGGAGCAAACAGGAUUAGAUACCCUGGUAGUCCACGCCGUAAACGAUGAGCACUAGGUAUUGCGGGUCUUGACCCCCGCAGUGCCGUAGCAAACGCAUUAAGUGCUCCGCCUGGGGAGUACGGUCGCAAGAUUAAA